Long non-coding RNA from Dendroctonus ponderosae (mountain pine beetle), 843 nucleotides. RefSeq lists it as uncharacterized. The record is from RefSeq and is a predicted model, not a curated record. The transcript has 2 exons. Lineage: Eukaryota; Metazoa; Arthropoda; Insecta; Coleoptera; Curculionidae.
AUUUAUGAGCAAACAUUUUGUAUAAAUCUUUAUACAAUCUACUUCAAUAGUUAUGCUGACUCGACCGCAAUUCGCUAGUUUACUCUGUUUGAAACUGGAUUGGAAAAUUGGUGAAAAGAAAAGAAUGUGGAAUGGAGGAGUAAAACUAGGAACAUUGAUAUUCAAAUCCCCAAAAAAGCCCCGAAAAUUGAUUUUUUCAUUAUACCUGGCAAUAAACAUGUUAAACAAAUACUGCUGAAGUAUGGCAUCAAUCAAUCUCGAAGACAAUGGGCGAUCGAUGUGCGUAUAAAACUCAUAAAUAUUUUAUUGCGACGUGGAACACAAAAAACAAAUUUUCCUCUUCCUUAGAGGUGACUGUAUGAAUCUCAUACAAUUAUAGGAAAGCUGUUCAACGAACCGUACCCAAUCUGUAAGUAAAAUUUGCAAGCUGCAGAGUAGGAGGUUUGGCAUUGAAGAUACCAUUAACCUCUGGCGUGAUUGCAUAAUGUUAUUGCGUUUUAUUAGCAACCGAGUUUAAAAUUAGCACCGCUCUAAUGGUUCCUGCCCAAACGUUGCCAGGGGGGCAAAAAAUCGGUGGCUUUGUUAGCGUGCAAACCGUCCAUCUAGGAAGCUGCCGAAUGUGCUUAGAAACUUGCGGAUAUUUUCAGUAUGAAUCAGCAGCUUACAAAGUCAUUUGCCCUGCUCAAUGCAGGUUUAAAAAGCCAACUUUUUUUGUUGGUAUUUCCUAGUUCGUCAACUUCCGGAGGAUCAUAAGCGGGUAGAAAUUUAUGAGAACUAAAUCCCUUAUAUUUAUAGCAAUUGAUGUUUUAUUUUUCUAUCAAUAUUGAAACUGACUGUCAUUUA